This 501-nucleotide ribosomal RNA is filed under the name uncultured bacterium. RNAcentral's name for it is "partial 16S ribosomal RNA". It matches the Rfam family "Bacterial small subunit ribosomal RNA", at positions 28 to 523 of the family's 1533-position model. The record is from RNAcentral.
GAUGAACGCUAGCGGCAGGCCUAACACAUGCAAGUCGAGGGGCAGCACAGAAACAGCAAUGUUUUGGUGGCGACCGGCGGACGGGUGCGUAACGCGUAUGCAACCUACCUUUAACAGGGGGAUAACGGAGAGAAAUUUCCACUAAUACCCCAUAGCAUCGAUCAAGGCAUCUUGAUUGGUUGAAAACUACGGUGGGUAAAGAUGGGCAUGCGUUGUAUUAGGUAGUUGGUGAGGUAAUGGCUCACCAAGCCUACGAUACAUAGGGGACUGAGAGGUUAGCCCCCCACGCUGGUACUGAGACACGGACCAGACUCCUACGGGAGGCAGCAGUGAGGAAUAUUGGUCAAUGGGGGCAACCCUGAACCAGCCAUGCCGCGUGCAGGAAGACGGCUCUAUGAGUUGUAAACUGCUUUUAAACAGGGAUAAAGCACAGUAUGUAUACUGUGUUGAAGGUACUGUAAGAAUAAGGAUCGGCUAACUCCGUGCCAGCCGCCGCGGUAA